This 439-nucleotide ribosomal RNA is filed under the name uncultured bacterium. RNAcentral's name for it is "partial 16S ribosomal RNA". It matches the Rfam family "Bacterial small subunit ribosomal RNA", at positions 339 to 795 of the family's 1533-position model. The record is from RNAcentral.
CUACGGGAUGCAGCAGUGGGGAAUAUUGCACAAUGGAGGAAACUCUGAUGCAGCAACGCCGCGUGGAGGAUGACACUUUUCGGAGCGUAAACUCCUUUUAUAUAGGAAGAAGAUGACGGUACUAUAUGAAUAAGCGCCGGCUAACUCCGUGCCAUCAGCCGCGGUAAUACGGAGGGCGCAAGCGUUACUCGGAAUCACUGGGCGUAAAGAGCGUGUAGGCGGAUUAAAAAGUCAGAAGUGAAAUCCUAUAGCUUAACUAUAGAACUGCUUCUGAAACUCUUAAUCUAGAAUAUGGGAGAGGUAGAUGGAAUUUCUGGUGUAGGGGUAAAAUCCGUAGAGAUCAGAAGGAAUACCGAUUGCGAAGGCGAUCUACUAGAACAUUAUUGACGCUGAGACGCGAAAGCAUGGGGAGCAAACAGGAUUAGAUACCCCAGUAGUC